This is a non-coding RNA of Cynocephalus volans (Philippine flying lemur), 223 nucleotides long. RefSeq annotates it as small Cajal body-specific RNA 1. The record is from RefSeq and is a predicted model, not a curated record. Lineage: Eukaryota; Metazoa; Chordata; Mammalia; Dermoptera; Cynocephalidae. The transcript has a single exon.
UUGCACUUGAUACUAAUUGAGCUACCUAUAUAUCCUAGCCUUGUGUCAGAGGCUUGUGAUGUGUUGUGACAGCUGGGUUUUUUUUUUUAACUGAAACAUAUUGACUAUAUAUACUUGUGGGGCACAAGUGGGGUUUAAGAAAUGCAGUAUUAAAACAAAAGCCAUGAGUCUUUUAAACCCAUUAUGUAAAGACACACUCAAGGUAUAACUCAAAGGCAUAACA